GCCCAUGGCCAUGCCACCCUGAACAAGCCCGAUCCCAUUUGAUCUCAGAAGCUAAGUAGGAUCGGGCCUGGUUAGUACUUGGAUGGGAGCCCAUCUAGGAAGACCAGGUGUUGUAGGCA
This 119-nucleotide ribosomal RNA is filed under the name Pteropus vampyrus (large flying fox). The record is from RNAcentral. Lineage: Eukaryota; Metazoa; Chordata; Mammalia; Chiroptera; Pteropodidae.